RNAcentral lists this long non-coding RNA (3646 nucleotides) under Nicotiana tabacum (common tobacco). RNAcentral's name for it is "long non-coding RNA (NTAB_LNC016679)". Lineage: Eukaryota; Viridiplantae; Streptophyta; Magnoliopsida; Solanales; Solanaceae. The record is from RNAcentral.
CCUUUUCUCUUCCUCGUAAUUCGUGCACCUGGGGAAAAUGAAAACCCCCUUCUUAAACCCCAACACACACACACACACAGAAAAAAGAAAAAAAGAAAAAAAGAAAAAAAGGAGAAGUGUUUCACUGUUAAAACUGUCUCUGCCUUUAAUGGAACAAGACAAAUAAUAAAAGAGAAAGAACAAAUCUUUUUCAAGAAGAGAGAGAGAGUGUGUGAGUGUGUGUUUUAAGAUCUGUUUGAAUGCAUUUUCUCACUGUGUUUCUCCUUUUUUUGUGAAAACACUUUGACCAGUUAGGGUUUGUUUGGACCAAAACUAAGUUCUUUGGCCAUGGCAUUGCUACUGGAUUUUUCAGGAAGGUGGUUUUUUCCCCAAGAAAGGUAAAACACUACAGACCUUUUUUUUUAUUUUUAUUAUUUUUUUCUUGCAAACUUAGCUCCAAUCUGUUUUCCAUUUGUUUAUUAAGCUUCUAAAUAUGAAGAGAACUCAUUAAGCUCAUUUCUUGAUUUUGUAUUCACUUUUUUUUUUUUUUUUUGUGUGUGUGUGUGUGUGUGUGUUUUCAACUUGGUCCGUUCAUUAUGUCUAAAAAUUUAACUUUUUUUUUUCCUGAAUGGGAAAUUUAAGGAGCUUCUGUUCUGGCUUUAGCAUUUGUUUUCUUCCGUGUUAUGGUAAUUUUUCCAAUUAGAAUUCAUUCUAUUAUCCUGUAUCUUCUGUAUAUAUAGUUGAAGCAGAAAGAUUGAAUCUUGAUAUGCACAUUUUGUUCAGAGCAGGCACUUAUGUAGUGAAUGGAAAUCCUAAUAGAUAUAUUAGUUGGAUGAUUUUGAGCCUUUGAGGUUUACUUUUGAGUAAGAUAUCUCCUCCACCUUCCCCCCUCCCUUCCCAGGGGAGCCAAGAGAUCAGCUAUUAAAAUGAGGAGCUUUAUAGCAGUGAGGUUAUAGGUUUUGCGAUUUAGUUAUUUGAGCAUUCACCCUUUAACACAAUUAAAGAAGGUGCAUAUGGUUUUUCCACCUGGCGCUGUAGGCUAUGUUGUUCGGACUCUUCGAAAAUGUUGCCGGGUUCGUGUCAGAUCCUCCAAAAGUAGUGCAUUUUUUGUGGAGGAUCCAACACGGGUGCAGCAAUAUUUUGGAGAGUCCGCGCAAUAUAGGUUGUAGGGAAUUCAAAGAUCUUGGGGUGUCUUAGGUGAAAAUCAUCUAGCAGUGAAUAUUUCUCACAAUUCCACUAUAGCGGAUAUAAGAGUGUUCACAAGAUUGACUUUACCUGAUAAAAAUGAGUUUUCAAAGGAUCAAUAAUUAAGGUAGAUCCUCAUUUUGAGGUCAAGAAUUUCUGUUGGUGAAGGUCAAAGUUCCCCUGUUGCUACCUGUGCUGGUGGGAGAAUUUGAGGUGCUUGUAAGCUGGCCCAGACAUCGGAUACCAGUGUAAUAAAAAAUCUCCCCUGAUGCAUAUAAUCUUUAGUCGCAAAGGACUCCAUUGUCAUUUUAAUCUCCAUAGUUUAAUGUGGCUCUUGGUGCUAAAAUAUUCUGUACCUGCAGGUCUAAUUCUGAGAUAAUGGUGGCAAAUAUAUGCAAAAAGUUUAGUACUUUACAGUUUAUUCUGUAAAAUUGACAUAUUUUCAGAGAUCAUACAUUUACUUAAUGUGGGAAUAAACAAAAGUCAUUCAGAUAAAGAAAAGAGUCACAUAAGUUGAGAUGAUAAGGAACAGGCAGAUAAAAUCCAGAGCUUAAAUUCCUAUGCUUGCCUAUUUAGGUGUAUAUCAUAUAAUUCACGUUGCUCAUGCAUAUCAAUCCUGGUGGAGUGGUACGUUUUUUGUCCCUAGAAUUUCAUGCUUUCUUUUCUAGGUAUUGACAACUAGUGAGAGACCUUUCAGCUGGAUGCCUAAGGCUACUCCAUUCUCAUUUCUCUUCCCCCUUUCCUCCCUUAUGAUAUGAAACCAUUCAGCCUAAGCUCUAGACUUGUCAUGUAGGAAAAAUUGCUACUUGAAAUCUGUUUCAAGGAUAUGCAGUGAGGAUUUUUUGAGGUAAUUAUUGUGAAGGAAGGGGUUGGAUUCUAUAAGAAGGGAUAAAGAGCCGCUGCUGUUCAGGAGCUAAGACGAGAGGAGGAUUUAGAAUUCAUAUAUCAGUAGUUGCAGUGCUGGACAGUUGAGUUAUCUUUCAUUUUGUUUUCAAUCUUCCGGAAGUUGCAGGGAAUGAACAGAUAAGAGUAAUGAGGAAAAAGAAGAGGCAAAAACAUGACUAACGAGCCCCUUUGCUCUUAGGAGGCGGAUUUGAAGAACUAGACACAUCUCUUUAAGAUGGUUGGGUGGCAUUUUCAAAGCUUAACUAUAAGAUACAGGAGGGGUUCUAGUGGUCCAUCUUGAAGAGGAAAACUAAUUUAUUGAAAAUGGUGCUAAAUUCUUAGAGGUCUUAAAUGGAACCUAAAAGCCGAAGGCAAAAUGCAACGUUAUAUUACUCCAUUUUUUUCUCUUGGCUUUAAAUAUCUUACUGAAAAUACUAUUAGGCUAACACGCCCUCCCCUCAGGCUUUGGUCCAGUAGCAAGAGCACAACGCAUGGUAUGUGGGUUAGACGCACGCCAUGAGUUCAAACCUAGCUGCGGACAAGAGCAGACAAAAGCAUGGUAUUUAUUUAAGUGGAUAAGGGUUUUUUUUUGGGGGGGGGGGGGGAUCUAAGCUCAGAAUUGAAGCAAGGUGCAUAAGUUUGUACUCGCUGGAUGCAAGUCCAUAUAUUUUUCUUCUUGAAGAUGAAAUGGUCCCUUUUCAACUGCUCAAUCCCAAUGGUGUUUCGAUCCGAUGCUGUUCCAACUGUUGAUUUCUGACUUUUUCUUGCUAUAUCUUCUGCAGGUCAGAUAGAGAAGCAGGAGUUGAGCUUGCUUCAGAGGUUUUGAGCUGGUGGUCAACUGUUAAACCGGGUUGAACUUCCUUGUGAUUUUCUAGAACAUGUGAACUAAUUACAUAAUUAGUUAAUUAGGGAAUGAAGCCAUCGGUCCGCGAAGCAUAUCAAGCUUUGUAUCAUAUUGACAAUACCAGUAGUGAUUCAUAGUGCAUGAAGUAUUUUUUGGCAUAUCAAAGCUACUAAGGUUUAUAUUAUCUAAGUUUUGAUCUGUUCCUAUUCAAACUUUAAUCAGGAUCUAAUGCUCAAUUAGCGUGGAGGUCUUUGAUCACUUGAUAUUUAACGCGUAUUGUAUAUCCAAUUUCCUGCUUGUUACACCCUCCUUUUUACCUUUCCCGAGCCUUUUUAUCCGUUUAUCUUUGUAUCUUUCCUGAGCCGAGGGUCUACCAGAAACAACCUCUCUACUUUCUCAAGGUAGGGGUAAGGUCUGCGUACGUACUAUCCUCCCCAAACCCAUAUGCGGGAUUAGUCUUCCUUCUUGUUACUCUGAGAUGGAUAUAUUAUGCUUGCAAUAUUGAAAAUGAAAAUCAUCAUCAAUUAAGUAUCAGACUUCAAGAUCCUACUGUGGAGGAGCUGUGAAUAUUGCAGGCAGAUUGUGAAUGAUUUUGAAUAUUGUCUGAGGAGCAUAGGACUGAUUUUAGAUUUUAGGAUUCUUUUUCCCUUUUUAUGUGAAGAUGUUGAAAUACUUACUAAAUUUGUGGGUAUUUUAUGGAUUUGUCAUACAUAUUUAUGCCUGAGAUGAGAUUGAAUUUAACAUGGUUGUGAG